UAACUUGAGAGUUUGAUCCUGGCUCAGGACGAACGCUGGCGGCAUGCCUAACACAUGCAAGUCGAACGAGAAAGCUUCUUCGGAAGUUAUUAAAGUGGCGCACGGGUGAGUAACGCGUAGACAAUCUGCCCUUCAGUCCGGGACAACUUUCCGA
This 154-nucleotide ribosomal RNA is filed under the name bacterium. RNAcentral's name for it is "partial 16S ribosomal RNA". It matches the Rfam family "Bacterial small subunit ribosomal RNA", at positions 1 to 154 of the family's 1533-position model. The record is from RNAcentral.